AGUUUGAUCCUGGCUCAGGAUGAACGCUAGCUACAGGCUUAACACAUGCAAGUCGAGGGGCAGCAUGAACUUAGCUUGCUAAGUUUGAUGGCGACCGGCGCACGGGUGAGUAACACGUAUCCAACCUGCCGAUGACUCGGGGAUAGCCUUUCGAAAGAAAGAUUAAUACCCGAUGGCAUAGUUCUUCCGCAUGGNAGAACUAUUAAAGAAUUUCGGUCAUCGAUGGGGAUGCGUUCCAUUAGGUUGUUGGCGGGGUAACGGCCCACCAAGCCUUCGAUGGAUAGGGGUUCUGAGAGGAAGGUCCCCCACAUUGGAACUGAGACACGGUCCAAAUCCUACGGGAGGCAGCAGUGAGGAAUAUUGGUCAAUGGACGAGAGUCUGAACCNAGCCAAGUAGCGUGAAGGAUGACUGCCCUAUGGGUUGUAAACUUCUUUUAUACGGGAAUAAAGUGAGGCACGUGUGCCUUUUUGUAUGUACCGUAUGAAUAAGGAUCGGCUAACUCCGUGCCAGCGGCCGCGGUAAUACGGAGGAUCCGAGCGUUAUCCGGAUUUAUUGGGUUUAAAGGGAGCGUAGGCGGACGCUUAAGUCAGUUGUGAAAGUUUGCGGCUCAACCGUAAAAUUGCAGUUGAUACUGGGUGUCUUGAGUACAGUAGAGGCAGGCGGAAUUCGUGGUGUAGCGGUGAAAUGCUUAGAUAUCACGAAGAACUCCGAUUGCGAAGGCAGCCUGCUGGACUGUAACUGACGCUGAUGCUCGAAAGUGUGGGUAUCAAACAGGAUUAGAUACCCUGGUAGUCCACACAGUAAACGAUGAAUACUCGCUGUUUGCGAUAUACAGUAAGCGGCCAAGCGAAAGCGUUAAGUAUUCCACCUGGGGAGUACGCCGGCAACGGUGAAACUCAAAGGAAUUGACGGGGGCCCGCACAAGCGGAGGAACAUGUGGUUUAAUUCGAUGAUACGCGAGGAACCUUACCCGGGCUUGAAUUGCAACUGAAUGAUGUGGAGACAUGUCAGCCGCAAGGCAGUUGUGAAGGUGCUGCAUGGUUGUCGUCAGCUCGUGCCGUGAGGUGUCGGCUUAAGUGCCAUAACGAGCGCAACCCUUAUCGAUAGUUACCAUCANGUGAUGCUGGGGACUCUGUCGAGACUGNCGUCGUAAGAUGUGAGGAAGGUGGA
This 1171-nucleotide ribosomal RNA is filed under the name uncultured Bacteroides sp. RNAcentral describes it as "bacterial SSU rRNA". It matches the Rfam family "Bacterial small subunit ribosomal RNA", at positions 10 to 1177 of the family's 1533-position model. The record is from RNAcentral. Lineage: Bacteria; Pseudomonadati; Bacteroidota; Bacteroidia; Bacteroidales; Bacteroidaceae.